RNAcentral lists this ribosomal RNA (429 nucleotides) under bacterium. RNAcentral's name for it is "partial 16S ribosomal RNA". It matches the Rfam family "Bacterial small subunit ribosomal RNA", at positions 355 to 776 of the family's 1533-position model. The record is from RNAcentral.
UAGGGAAUCUUCCACAAUGGACGCAAGUCUGAUGGAGCAACGCCGCGUGAGUGAAGAAGGUUUUCGGAUCGUAAAGCUCUGUUGUUGGUGAAGAAGGAUAGAGGUAGUAACUGGCCUUUAUUUGACGGUAAUCAACCAGAAAGUCACGGCUAACUACGUGCCAGCAGCCGCGGUAAUACGUAGGUGGCAAGCGUUGUCCGGAUUUAUUUGGCGUAAAGCGAGCGCAGGCGGAAGAAUAAGUCUGAUGUGAAAGCCCUCGGCUUAACCGAGGAACUGCAUCGGAAACUGUUUUUCUUGAGUGCAGAAGAGGAGAGUGGAAUUCCAUGUGUAGCGGUGGAAUUCGUAGAUAUAUGGAAGAACAACAGUGGCGAAGGCGACUCUCUGGUCUGCAACUGACGCUGAGGCUCGAAAGCAUGGGUAGCGAACAGG